This 424-nucleotide ribosomal RNA is filed under the name uncultured bacterium. Its description in RNAcentral is "partial 16S ribosomal RNA". It matches the Rfam family "Bacterial small subunit ribosomal RNA", at positions 360 to 776 of the family's 1533-position model. The record is from RNAcentral.
AAUAUUUGAUAAUGGGCGAAAGCCUGAUCCAGCCAUGCCGCGUGUGUGAAGAAGGUCUUCGGAUUGUAAAGCACUUUAAGUUGGGAGGAAGGGCAGUAAGUUAAUACCUUGCUGUUGUGACGUUACCGUCAGAAUAAUCACCGGCCAACUUCGUGCCAUCAGCCGCGGUAAUACGAAGGGUGCAAGCGUUAAUCGGAAUUACUGGGCGUAAAGCGAGCGUAGGUGGUUUGUUAAGUUAGAAGUGAAAGCCCCGGGCUUAACCUGGGGAUUGCUUUCAAAACUGACGAGCUAGAGUACGGUAGAGGGUAGUGGAAUUUCCUGUGUAGCGGUGAAAUGCGUAGAUAUAGGAAGGAACAUCAGUGGCGAAGGCGACUACCUGGACUGAUACUGACACUGAGGUGCGAAAGCGUGGGGAGCAAACAGG